CAAAUCUCUAGAUAGGGCAGAGCAAAAAUAAAAAAUAAAAAAGAGAGGGAAAAAGGAAAAGAAUGAAGGAUAGAGCAAGGGCCAAUGCAGUGAGAUCAGCCAUAGUGGUGAUCGGAUCCCUGGCAUUCGGGUACUUGACCCUACAACUCGUGUUUAAGCCUUUUCUUCAAAAAGCUCAAGAACUUGAAGCCCUCCAACAACCUUCUCAAUCUUCUUCUACUUCUCAAAAACAAGAAUCCCCAACUCAGCAUUCAUAAAACCCAGUUUCUUGUUUUGGUAGAUGGAUAAAGGAGAAAAUUGGGAAGUGAAUAAUGAAGAACAAUGGAUGGAGAAUUGGGAUAGACGGCGAAGAAUGGCUGUAGCUCAAGUGCUUUGUUAUGUAGUGCAUGCCAUAUGUGUGUACCAUGUGCAUUACCGUAGAUAUAUUAAUGUGCCUGGAAAGUCUUCAAAAUGCAAGAAACGAAAGGCUACUAUGUGGGGGAGAGAGUUUAAGAAAAUUAGGGACACAAUUAAAGAUGUUACUGAGCCAAUUCCAGAGGGAAAUGCUGUUAGGAGAGAGUCCACGGCCAUGUUGACUCUGAAGAAGUUGCUUUUAAAGAUUUGGUGCACAUUGGAGUUGAGAAGCACUUAGUCUAUGGUGCUUACAGCUUUCUAAUUGAAGAUCAUGCGAGGGUGAGAGUAUUCUUUGGUUUCCCAGUUGAGGAGCGUGAAGAUAUUCUAACACAGAUGAUGUAUGAACCCGAGGACCCUCCACGCUUGAAAAGUAUUUAAAUGAAUAAAUGGUGGUUUAACUUCUUGCUAGCUUUAUGCUAUUUUUUUUACCCUUUUCCCCUUGGACUCAUUCAAAGAUGUCAUGUUUAUGAUUUUGGAAGUUACCAUUUACAUUGUGGUUGCUUGUUGUGGAUGAUCUUGCGUUAAAAACCAAGAGUUUUUUUCUGUAGAUAAUGCUGCUCGUGUAAGAUUUCUUGUGCUCUUUGUUGACUUUGGAACUCAUUA
Molecule: non-coding RNA, 996 nt
Organism: Theobroma cacao (cacao)
Lineage: Eukaryota; Viridiplantae; Streptophyta; Magnoliopsida; Malvales; Malvaceae
Source: RefSeq, a predicted model, not a curated record